Molecule: ribosomal RNA, 1019 nt
Filed under: Kingella kingae
Lineage: Bacteria; Pseudomonadati; Pseudomonadota; Betaproteobacteria; Neisseriales; Neisseriaceae
Description: bacterial SSU rRNA
Rfam family: Bacterial small subunit ribosomal RNA
Source: RNAcentral
GGUACCUAAAGAAUAAGCACCGGCUAACUACGUGCCAGCAGCCGCGGUAAUACGUAGGGUGCGAGCGUUAAUCGGAAUUACUGGGCGUAAAGCGAGCGCAGACGGUUAGUUAAGCAAGAUGUGAAAUCCCUGAGCUCAACUUGGGAACUGCGUUUUGAACUGGCUAGCUAGAGUGUGUCAGAGGGGGGUAGAAUUCCACGUGUAGCAGUGAAAUGCGUAGAGAUGUGGAGGAAUACCGAUGGCGAAGGCAGCCCCCUGGGAUAACACUGACGUUCAUGCUCGAAAGCGUGGGUAGCAAACAGGAUUAGAUACCCUGGUAGUCCACGCCCUAAACGAUGUCAAUUAGCUGUUGGGCAACUUGAUUGCUUAGUAGCGUAGCUAACGCGUGAAAUUGACCGCCUGGGGAGUACGGUCGCAAGAUUAAAACUCAAAGGAAUUGACGGGGACCCGCACAAGCGGUGGAUGAUGUGGAUUAAUUCGAUGCAACGCGAAGAACCUUACCUGGUCUUGACAUGUACGGAAUCUUUCAGAGAUGGAAGAGUGCCUUCGGGAGCCGUAACACAGGUGCUGCAUGGCUGUCGUCAGCUCGUGUCGUGAGAUGUUGGGUUAAGUCCCGCAACGAGCGCAACCCUUGUCAUUAGUUGCCAUCAUUAAGUUGGGCACUCUAAUGAGACUGCCGGUGACAAACCGGAGGAAGGUGGGGAUGACGUCAAGUCCUCAUGGCCCUUAUGACCAGGGCUUCACACGUCAUACAAUGGUCGGUACAGAGGGUAGCCAAGCCGCGAGGUGGAGCCAAUCCCAGAAAACCGAUCGUAGUCCGGAUUGCACUCUGCAACUCGAGUGCAUGAAGUCGGAAUCGCUAGUAAUCGCAGGUCAGCAUACUGCGGUGAAUACGUUCCCGGGUCUUGUACACACCGCCCGUCACACCAUGGGAGUGGGGGAUACCAGAAGUAGAUAGGGUAACCGCAAGGAGCCCGUUUACCACGGUAUGUUUCAUGACCUGUCUCUUAUACACAUCU